GAUGAACGCUGGCGGCGUGCCUAACACAUGCAAGUCGAGCGGCAGCGCGGGGUGCUUGCGCCCUGUCGGCGAGCGGCGGACGGCUGAGUAACGCGUGGGAACGUGCCCCAAAGUGAGGAAUAACUGCCCGAAAGGGUAGCUAAUACCGCAUAUUAUCUUCGGAUCAAAGGAUUUAUCCGCUUUGGGAGCGGCUCGCGUCGGAUUAGGUAGUUGGUGAGGUAAUGGCUCACCAAGCCGACGAUCCGUAGCUGGUCUGAGAGGAUGACCAGCCAGACUGGAACUGAGACACGGUCCAGACUCCUACGGGAGGCAGCAGUGAGGAAUCUUCCACAAUGGGCGAAAGCCUGAUGGAGCAACGCCGCGUGCAGGACGAAGGCCUUCGGGUUGUAAACUGCUUUUAUAAGUGAGGAAUAUGACGGUAACUUAUGAAUAAGGAUCGGCUAACUACGUG
Molecule: ribosomal RNA, 451 nt
Filed under: uncultured bacterium
Lineage: Bacteria
Description: partial 16S ribosomal RNA
Rfam family: Bacterial small subunit ribosomal RNA
Source: RNAcentral